AGUAUUAUUUAAUUUAGGAUGGUGGGUUUGUCACAAAACCAGAAUAAACAAGAUAAGAAUAGAGAAAGUCAUCCAUUUAAAUUUGGAGUCUUACUACAUCCAUCAAACAUCCGACACACAACAAACUCAAGAGGCAUCAUAUUACCAAACCAUCUUAAUUUUGGUCAUAAACCCCCCCAAAUUCGCUGCAAGUGUAGAAUAUAAAAAAAUGGUGGUGCAAUUUUUCUUCGCGGUGGCGUUCUCGGCGGUACCACUGACUCUAUACGUACCGCCGAUUAGGCACUUAACGCUAUUUGUGACGGCAAUUCAAGAGCUCAUCACUGAAACUACCGGAUAUCGUCGUAGAGUUUUCCCUCGGUUUCGCCGGGCCUUCCGUUUCUUACUCCAUCCUGCUUCAUCAACUUAGAUCCUAUUUCAUGCUCAUUUAAUCAUUCAUUACCAAAUCAGACUACUUUCGUGUACAUAUGAGUACCUCAUAAUAAUAAGUAUGUUCAUUUCUUUCUUUUUUUUUGUUAGAUUUGUUUUCUUCUAGUGAGUGAUUCUAGAUGCUUCUAUGAUUAGGAAUUGGUCAUGGAAGUAUUAGGUGCAAACUGUAAUUUGCGGAUGAUUUUUCCAACUGGCUUUGUUAGACUGUUAGUUGCUAUACAGUAAUUAUACUUCUAUGCUUUUAUCGUUUUCAUUGGAUUAUAUGUGAUGUUCACAGUUCACACAAUAUGAAAAUAAAAUUCUAGUUUUUUCAGCUCGCGACUUUCAAUUUCAGUUUUUUUCUUGAUUAGGAAUUGGUCAUGAAAGUUUAUGCUUGAGACUUUCAAUUUCAGUUUUUUUCUUGAUUCACUUUUUCUGUAGCGAUUACUGAUUAUAUACUUUUAGAAGCUGUUUUUGCUUUUAUUUUUUAGCUAAACUUUCUCUAUUGUCUAUAUCAGACUAGAUGACUGUCUUCCUCAAUCUCCCCUCGAUAGUUGUUCCUUACAAUAACUAGGGGGAGGGGAAAAUCCUAGUUACAAUGCUAUCACCAUCCAUAGUCCUACACGCUUUGGCCAAGAGAUCGGCCACUUUGUUGAAAAUCCUGCUGCAAUGUUUAAUCUGCAAGUCCGGCUUGUUCGUUAUCCACUGCCUGCACAUAGUAAGUAAGUUGGAGUAUAGGUCAGAAUGACCCCCCUUGAUCAGGUGGGUCGCAUCUUUGCAAUCAGAGUAUAUAAUCGCCUUUGGGAGGUUAUACUUCUCAACAAGAUAGAGGGCCUCAAGAAUUGCAAGAAGUUCACUGUUCUAUUUUUGUACAUUUACUACCUCUGUUUUAUUUUAAUCGUUACACUUUUAUAUUACUAUUUACAUGUGAGAUUUUGUUAGAUUCAUCAUAAUAUGUACUGUAUUUUAUUAAUAUGUACUUUUUAUAAUUUUUACAAAUACAAAAUUAAUUAGUAUA
This is a long non-coding RNA of Beta vulgaris subsp. vulgaris (sugar beet), 1423 nucleotides long. RefSeq lists it as uncharacterized. The transcript is spliced from 2 exons. Lineage: Eukaryota; Viridiplantae; Streptophyta; Magnoliopsida; Caryophyllales; Amaranthaceae. The record is from RefSeq and is a predicted model, not a curated record.